UCUGCCGUGUCCUUCGCCAAGCCCGUCAAGGCAAUCAACAUGAACUCACUCUCUUUCUCUGGUGCAAGGAGGGGCAAUGCAUUUCUUCGUCUGCAGCCAGUGCCGAUGAGAUUUGCUGUUUGCUGCUCAGCAAAGCACGAUACAGUGGAGAAGGUUUGUGAAAUUGUUAAGAAGCAGCUUGCUGUUCCUGAAGGCACUGAAGUUUGCGGUACCACCAAGUUCUCUGACCUUGGAGCUGAUUCACUGGACACGGUCGAGAUUGUGAUGGGCCUCGAGGAGGAGUUCCAGAUCAGCGUGGAGGAGACGAGUGCGCAGGCAAUUGCGACAGUGGAAGAUGCUGCCACGCUUUCGGACGCUGGGCCGGGAAUCGCGGUGGGGGAGGCUUGGCUCCCUGUGGCUCAGUGCAGGCGAUGUGUGACGGAUCUGAGGUUGCGCCUCCAGCGGGUGGCGGCCGCGGGAGCGUCGUCGGCAGGCCCCGGGGCUGCGGCCUGCUGGUUUCUGCCCGACGAGUUUGGGCGGGGUUGCGGUCCCCCCUCCUGCCUCCUGGAUCUCCGUCACCAUGGUUCUGGCUGCGUCGGCUGCGGGCGGCGGCCUCGGUCCGGGACGGCUGUGGUGCGGGCGUCUCGGCGGCGCCCGAUCCAGAUCUGA
RNAcentral lists this ribosomal RNA (648 nucleotides) under Triticum aestivum (bread wheat). RNAcentral describes it as "partial small subunit ribosomal RNA". The record is from RNAcentral. Lineage: Eukaryota; Viridiplantae; Streptophyta; Magnoliopsida; Poales; Poaceae.